UUUGAUGGCGACCGGCGCACGGGUGAGUAACACGUAUCCAACCUGCCGAUGACUCGGGGAUAGCCUUUCGAAAGAAAGAUUAAUACCCGAUGGCAUAGUUCUUCCGCAUGGUGGAACUAUUAAAGAAUUUCGGUCAUCGAUGGGGAUGCGUUCCAUUAGGUUGUUGGCGGGGUACCGGCCCACCAAGCCUUCGAUGGAUAGGGGUUCUGAGAGGAAGGUCCCCCACAUUGGAACUGAGACACGGUCCAAACUCCUACGGGAGGCAGCAUG
This 270-nucleotide ribosomal RNA is filed under the name uncultured bacterium. RNAcentral's name for it is "partial 16S ribosomal RNA". It matches the Rfam family "Bacterial small subunit ribosomal RNA", at positions 84 to 353 of the family's 1533-position model. The record is from RNAcentral.